CGCUGGCGGCGUGCUUAAUACAUGCAAGUCGAACGGAGCUUAGCUGAUAGUUACUAGAGGCGAAAGCUUAGUGGCGGACGGGUGAGUAACGCGUGGGUAAUCUGCCCCUAAGUCCGGGAUAACAGAGCGAAAGUUCUGCUAAGACCGGAUACUCUUUACCAGUUGCAUAACGGGUAAAGGAAAGGUAACGCUUAGGGAUGAGCCCGCGUCCCAUUAGCUAGUUGGUGAGGUAAGAGCUCACCAAGGCGACGAUGGGUAGCCGGCCUGAGAGGGUGGACGGCCACACUGGGACUGAGACACGGCCCAGACUCCUACGGGAGGCAGCAGUAGGGAAUUUUCCGCAAUGGGCGCAAGCCCUGACGGAGCAACGCCGCGUGAGGGACGAAAGUCUUCGGAUCGUAAACCUUUGUCAUCGAGGACGAUAAUGACGGUACUCGAGGAGGAAGCCCCGGCUAACUACGUGCCAGCAGCUGC
Molecule: ribosomal RNA, 474 nt
Filed under: uncultured bacterium
Lineage: Bacteria
Description: bacterial SSU rRNA
Rfam family: Bacterial small subunit ribosomal RNA
Source: RNAcentral